RNAcentral lists this ribosomal RNA (459 nucleotides) under uncultured bacterium. RNAcentral describes it as "partial 16S ribosomal RNA". It matches the Rfam family "Bacterial small subunit ribosomal RNA", at positions 338 to 795 of the family's 1533-position model. The record is from RNAcentral.
CCUACGGGGGGCUGCAGUGAGGAAUAUUGGUCAAUGGCCGAGAGGCUGAACCAGCCAAGUCGCGUGAGGGAAGACGGCCCUACGGGUUGUAAACCUCUUUUGUCGGGGAGCAAAGCGAACCACGUGUGGCUCAUUGAGAGUACCCGAAGAAAAAGCAUCGGCUAACUCCGUGCCAGCAGCCGCGGUAAUACGGAGGAUGCGAGCGUUAUCCGGAUUUAUUGGGUUUAAAGGGUGCGCAGGCGGAGGUGCAAGUCAGCGGUAAAAUUGCGGGGCUCAACCCCGUACUGCCGUUGAAACUGCAUCCCUUGAGUGCGCGAGAAGUAUGCGGAAUGCGUGGUGUAGCGGUGAAAUGCAUAGAUAUCACGCAGAACUCCGAUUGCGAAGGCAGCAUCCCGGCGCGCAACUGACGCUCAUGCGCGAAAGCGUGGGUAUCGAACAGGAUUAGAUACCCUGGUAGUC